This 503-nucleotide ribosomal RNA is filed under the name uncultured bacterium. RNAcentral's name for it is "partial 16S ribosomal RNA". It matches the Rfam family "Bacterial small subunit ribosomal RNA", at positions 28 to 523 of the family's 1533-position model. The record is from RNAcentral.
GACGAACGCUGGCGGCGUGCUUAACACAUGCAAGUGGAGCGACGAACCCUUCGGGGGGCAAAGCCGCGAACGGGUGAGUAACACGUGGGUAACCUGCCCCGAUGACUGGGACAACCCGGGGAAACCCGGGCUAAUACCGGAUGAUGUGCACACACUUAAGUGUGUUCACUAAAGGUAGCUUCGGCUUCCGCAUUGGGAGGGGCCCGCGGCCCAUUAGCUUGUUGGUGAGGUAACGGCUCACCAAGGCAACGAUGGGUAGCUGGUCUGAGAGGACGAUCAGCCACACUGGGACUGAGACACGGCCCAGACUCCUACGGGAGGCAGCAGUGGGGAAUCUUGCGCAAUGCGCGAAAGCGUGACGCAGCAACGCCGCGUGAGGGAAGACGGCCUUCGGGUUGUAAACCUCUUUCAGUAGGGACGAAGGCCGGCCGGUGAAUAGCCGUGUCGGUUGACGGUACCUUCAGAAGAAGCUCCGGCUAACUACGUGCCAGCCGCCGCAGUAA